This 69-nucleotide transfer RNA is filed under the name marine eukaryotic metagenome. It matches the Rfam family "tRNA", at positions 5 to 66 of the family's 71-position model. From Rfam's summary of the family: Transfer RNA (tRNA) molecules are approximately 80 nucleotides in length. Their secondary structure includes four short double-helical elements and three loops (D, anti-codon, and T loops). The record is from RNAcentral.
CGGGUGUAGCUCAGUCGGUUAGAGCGCUUGGUUGUGGCCCAUGAGGUCGCCGGUUCAAGUCCGGUCACU